UCAAAUAUUUGUCUAUGAGGUCUGUUUAAUACAAAACUCCUAUUAGAUUCAAUAGGAUCUAUUGAAUAAAAACAUUGUUUAGCUUGUUCGGCAAAAAUCAACGGUUCUUCCCCGUAUUUUGGCAUAGACGUUUUCACACUAACCAGACCGAACUCGUCUUUUUUAUAUCCUUCGUACCAUUUACAGUGAAACAUGGGAUAUUUUAACAUAUCGUGUCCGUAACAUACUUCGAAAACUUUGUGAAGAGUUCCAUGGUACGAAAGAUCAUCAAUUUUCGGAUCGUCAUUUGGAUUCUUUAAGUAUGUG
This 306-nucleotide long non-coding RNA is filed under the name Zostera marina. RNAcentral describes it as "long non-coding RNA (ZMAR_LNC005609)". Lineage: Eukaryota; Viridiplantae; Streptophyta; Magnoliopsida; Alismatales; Zosteraceae. The record is from RNAcentral.